Molecule: ribosomal RNA, 253 nt
Filed under: uncultured bacterium
Lineage: Bacteria
Description: partial 16S ribosomal RNA
Rfam family: Bacterial small subunit ribosomal RNA
Source: RNAcentral
UACGUAGGGUGCAAGCGUUGUCCGGAAUUAUUGGGCGUAAAGAGCUCGUAGGCGGUUUGUCGCGUCUGCUGUGAAAACUCGGGGCUUAACUCCGGGCCUGCAGUGGGUACGGGCAGACUAGAGUGCGGUAGGGGAGACUGGAAUUCCCGGUGUAGCGGUGAAAUGUGUAGAGAUCGGGAGGAACACCGGUGGCGAAGGCGGGUCUCUGGGCAAUUCCUGACGCUGAGGCGCGAAAGCGUGGGGAGCAAACGGG